ACGAACGCUGGCGGCAUGCCUAACACAUGCAAGUCGAACGAGACCUUCGGGUCUAGUGGCGCACGGGUGCGUAACGCGUGGGAACCUGCCCUUAGGUUCGGAAUAACUCCCCGAAAGGGGUGCUAAUACCGGAUAAUGUCUUCGGACCAAAGAUUUAUCGCCUUUGGAUGGGCCCGCGUUGGAUUAGCUAGUUGGUAGGGUAAAAGCCUACCAAGGCGACGAUCCAUAGCUGGUCUGAGAGGAUGAUCAGCCACACUGGGACUGAGACACGGCCCAGACUCCUACGGGAGGCAGCAGUGGGGAAUAUCGGACAAUGGGCGAAAGCCUGAUCCAGCAAUGCCGCGUGAGUGAUGAAGGCCUUAGGGUUGUAAAGCUCUUUUACCCGGGAUGAUAAUGACAGUACCGGGAGAAUAAGCUCCGGCUAACUCCGUG
RNAcentral lists this ribosomal RNA (432 nucleotides) under uncultured bacterium. RNAcentral describes it as "partial 16S ribosomal RNA". It matches the Rfam family "Bacterial small subunit ribosomal RNA", at positions 29 to 507 of the family's 1533-position model. The record is from RNAcentral.